UCUCUCUCUCUCUCUCUCUCUCUCUCUCUCUCUCUCUCUCUCUCUCUCUCUCUCUCUCUCUCUCUCUCUCUCUCUCUCUCUCUCUCUCUCUCACAUCCGCUCUUCUAUUCCACCCCCAUACCACGUUUACUCUCCCAACUCCCUACCCACUUCCCUCCUCCCCACCCUAUCCCUGGCAACCUUUCCCUCCUUAAUGGGUGCCAAACUUCUCCUUGAUGGUCUUGUAACAUUGUGAGGAUCAUAAUAUUUAUUGUUAGGCUUUGUAGAAAAAAAUGUUCAAUUAUUUUUAUGCUAUGUGUGUGUGUGUGUGUGUGUGUGUGUGUGUGUGUGUGUGUGUGUGUGUGUGUGUGUGUUAUAGAUAUGUGUAAUGUGUGUGUGAGAGGUAGUACUUGUUUGCAUUUGUAGUAUAUCUCUUCAAGUCAAUGUACAUAGUUAGUUCCUGUAGGUGCUUUAAUGAGUAGCAUUUUAAUAAUUUUUAAUAUUAUUCUAUUUUUAUGAGUGCCAGCCCAGUGGUGUAGUGCAUUGUUUAACACUCAGCAAGUUCUGGAUUCCAACUUCUUGCUAGGUGGAGACAGUUUGGCUUCAUUUAGCAGAGAAUAGGAAUGGAACCCAAGCUGAGGACCUUGCAGCCCAGCAAGAGUGGAAAGCUAUAGUCUUGCCCUCCUGUGUGUGUGUGUGUGUGUGUGUGUGUGUGUGUGUGUGUGUGUGUGUGUGUGUGUGUGUGUUGAAAUGAAAGCUCUAAAUGGUCUGCAUCACACCCUUAGUGGUAAACUGGCAUAAGUAUGAACAAACACAAUAAAUAAUCAGAUAUAGAUGUAUAGCAUAGGCAAUGAUGAAGCAUAUGGAUAGUUUAUGAAGCUUUACUAAUCUUUAAAGGUUUAUAUAAAAGUCACUGCUAAAAGGUUUAUGUGUAGAAAAUUACUUUAUUUGAGUCAUGGCUACAGUCUCCAGCCAGCACAGUGCCUUUGUCUCAUUCAGUGAAGUGCAGGAGCAACAGUGUCUCCAAAACACUGUGUUUGACAGUGCUAAACACAGCCACUAGUCAUUGUAGUGGUGGCUGGGCACUAAAUGGAGCCACAAGUCAGAUGUGAGGUGUCAGCGAAGUCGUCAGGGAAGGUGUUGGUGUUGUCUCACGUGCAGGGUAUCUGAAGUGUCUUUGAAUGCUGGAAAAAGGUGCUGAGUACUGAGUACAGUGUUUGUGGAGUAUAUCUAUAUUUUUAUGAAGUUGUUUAGUAGAGUGACAGGUGACCAAGGUUAUGUCUUGUGUUGGAGAAAGGUUACAAUCAGAGACAGCUACUUAAUGUAUCACAGUAUUCUCACACUGUAUCUCUUAAGUGUCAUUGCACAGCUCUCCUUGCUGAAGCUGAUCAUAGAAGUGGCUUAACUGUACAACUACUAUUUAAUAAAUUAAUGAAUAGA
Portunus trituberculatus (swimming crab) is the source of this 1419-nucleotide long non-coding RNA. RefSeq lists it as uncharacterized. The record is from RefSeq and is a predicted model, not a curated record. Lineage: Eukaryota; Metazoa; Arthropoda; Malacostraca; Decapoda; Portunidae. The transcript is spliced from 2 exons.